CGGGGUUCGAUUCCGGAGAGGGAGCCUGAGAAACGGCUACCACAUCCAAGGAAGGCAGCAGGCGCGCAAAUUACCCACUCCCGGCACGGGGAGGUAGUGACGAAAAAUAACGAUACGGAACUCAUACGAGGCUCCGUAAUCGGAAUGAGUACACUUUAAAUCCUUUAACGAGGAUCUAUUGGAGGGCAAGUCUGGUGCCAGCAGCCGCGGUAAUUCCAGCUCCAAUAGCGUAUAUUAAAGUUGUUGCGGUUAAAAAGCUCGUAGUUGGAUCUCGGUUUCACUCAGGCGGUACACCUUGCGGUGUUCACUGUCUGGGCGGACGUUUCUGUUGGUUCGCUGUUGGUUCUCUUAAUCGAGUGCCAAUUGGUGGCCAGCACGUUUACUUUGAAAAAAUUGGAGUGCUCAAAGCAGGCGUUACAGCCUGAACAUUAGUGCAUGGAAUAAUGGAAUAGGAUCUCGAUUCUAUUUCGUUGGCUUUCGGAGUCGAGGUAAUGAUUAAUAGGGACAGACGGGGGCAUUCGUACUGCGACGUUAGAGGUGAAAUUCUUGGAUCGUCGCAAGACGAACUACUGCGAAAGCAUUUGCCAAGAAUGUUUUCAUUAAUCAAGAACGAAAGUUAGAGGUUCGAAGGCGAUCAGAUACCGCCCUAGUUCUAACCAUAAACGAUGCCAACCGGCGAUCCGUCGUCGUUAAUUGAAUGACUCGACGGGCAGCCUCCGGGAAACCAGAGUGUUUGGGUUCCGGGGGAAGUAUGGUUGCAAAGCUGAAACUUAAAGGAAUUGACGGAAGGGCACCACCAGGAGUGGAGCCUGCGGCUUAAUUUGACUCAACACGGGAAAUCUCACCAGGCCCGGACACCGGAAGGAUUGACAGAUUGAGAGCUCUUUCUUGAUUCGGUGGGUGGUGGUGCAUGGCCGUUCUUAGUUGGUGGAGCGAUUUGUCUGGUUAAUUCCGAUAACGAACGAGACUCUGGCCUACUAACUAGAAGGGUCGUUCUUUACGAGCGGCCCUCUGCUUCUUAGAGGGACGGGCGGCGUUUAGCCGCACGAGAAUGAGCAAUAACAGGUCUGUGAUGCCCUUAGAUGUUCUGGGCUGCACGCGCGCUACACUGAAGGAAUCAGCAUGUUCUCCCCUCCCUGAAAAGGGCGGGUAACCCGUUGAAACUCCUUCGUGAUGGGGAUUGGAGAUUGUAAUUAUUCUCCAUGAACGAGGAAUUCCCAGUAGGCGCGAGUCAUCAGCUUGCGUCGAUUACGUCCCUGCCCUUUGUACACACCGCCCGUCGCUACUACCGAUCGAGUGAUUUAGUGAGGACUUCGGACUGGUCUCCAAGUUGGCUUCGGUCAGCUCGGAGUUCCGGAAAGAUGCCCAAACUUGAUCACUUAGAGGAAGUAAAAGUCGUAACAAGGUU
RNAcentral lists this ribosomal RNA (1408 nucleotides) under metagenome. RNAcentral describes it as "SSU rRNA". It matches the Rfam family "Eukaryotic small subunit ribosomal RNA", at positions 371 to 1801 of the family's 1831-position model. The record is from RNAcentral.